UACAGAGGUCUCAAGCGUUGUUCGGAUUCAUUGGGCGUAAAGGGUGCGUAGGUGGCGCCGUAAGUCGGGUGUGAAAUUUCGGAGCUUAACUCCGAAACUGCAUUCGAUACUGCGGUGCUUGAGGACUGGAGAGGAGACUGGAAUUCUUGGUGUAGCAGUGAAAUGCGUGGAGAUCAAGAGGAACACUCGUGGCGAAAGCGAGCUACUGGACAAUAUCUGACGCUGAGGCUCGAAGGCCAGGGUAGCGAAAGGG
RNAcentral lists this ribosomal RNA (253 nucleotides) under uncultured bacterium. RNAcentral's name for it is "partial 16S ribosomal RNA". It matches the Rfam family "Bacterial small subunit ribosomal RNA", at positions 524 to 776 of the family's 1533-position model. The record is from RNAcentral.